GUUCUUUGAGUUUUAUUUAGAAUCGUACCUGCCCUAUGAAAGUUUUUUAAAUGGCCGCAGUAAUUUGACUGUGCGAAGGUAGCAUAAUAAUUUGUCUUUUAAUUUGAGACUGGAAUGAAUGGUUUGACGAAAAAAUUGCUGUCUCUGGAGUUUUAGAUUUGAAAUUUACUUUUAAGUUAAAAGGCUUAAAUUUAGUUAAGGGACGAGAAGACCCCAUCAAGUUUUAUAACAUGAUUGGUAUUUAAAUUUCUAUUUAAAAUAGUUUGUGUUAUUUAACUGGGGCGGUUGAAAUAGAUUAUCUUUUUUUGUAGUAAUAUGUUUUAAAAUAAUUUUUGUAUUUAUUUUUGAUCCAAUGUUUUAUUGAUUAUAUGAAUAAAUUACUGUGGGGAUAACAGCGUUAUUUCUUUUAGGAGUUCAAAUUUACAAAGAAGUUUGCGACCUCGAUGUUGGAUUAAGUUAUUCUUAUUUGGUGAAGAAGCUAAUGAAGAGGGUCUGUUCGACCUUUAAAAUUUUACA
RNAcentral lists this ribosomal RNA (516 nucleotides) under Ascorhynchus castellioides. RNAcentral describes it as "partial 16S ribosomal RNA". It matches the Rfam family "Bacterial large subunit ribosomal RNA", at positions 1893 to 2600 of the family's 2925-position model. Lineage: Eukaryota; Metazoa; Arthropoda; Pycnogonida; Pantopoda; Ammotheidae. The record is from RNAcentral.